RNAcentral lists this ribosomal RNA (120 nucleotides) under uncultured bacterium. RNAcentral describes it as "partial 16S ribosomal RNA". It matches the Rfam family "Bacterial small subunit ribosomal RNA", at positions 32 to 147 of the family's 1533-position model. The record is from RNAcentral.
AAUCAACGCUGGCGGCGCGCUUAACACAUGCAAGUCGGACGAGAAAGGGGAGCAAUCCCUGAGUAAAGUGGCGUACGGGUGAGUAACACGUGGGUAAUCUACCUUCUGGUGGGGAAUAAC